RNAcentral lists this long non-coding RNA (327 nucleotides) under Nicotiana benthamiana. Its description in RNAcentral is "long non-coding RNA (NBEN_LNC029902)". The record is from RNAcentral. Lineage: Eukaryota; Viridiplantae; Streptophyta; Magnoliopsida; Solanales; Solanaceae.
AAGAAUUUUGAGACUCCUAAAAAAAAUAGCUGAAAACACUAGUAAAAUACUGUUCCAUUAAAGAUUUUCUCUGAUUUUUGAGUUGCUGAUUUUUGAAAUGGUAUUUGCUUCUGAGGUAUGAAGUGAUAUAGAAUUUUGGAAAAGUUUUCUGGGUCAAUUGGUUAAGCAGUACUGUUCCGUAAAGUUUUCAAGUUAAUCUCAUAGCUUUCCAUUGUGAAUCUGGGUUGGAAUUUGUGGUUAGCUUGUUACUGCUGAUUUUUUCAUUCUGUCUCACUCCUGUUCAUUUUCUUUUGUCCAAUUUCCAGGUAUUCCUUGACUUCCUAAGGG